AUGAAAAUACAGGCCCCGGUGCCUUGGAAGCCAUACUGCAAGGUCACAUUUCGGGACCUACUUAUAUCUCGGGUGUGGGAUUUAAGGAACUUGUGGCGACGACUUGUUGGUAUACAUGGUGGGAGCGGCGUCGUAUUGCGCGGGGCGAACCGGUUCAGACCACUGCUCGCUCAGCACAAGGUAUCGCUGCCAUUGCUUUGA
This 201-nucleotide ribosomal RNA is filed under the name Triticum aestivum (bread wheat). Its description in RNAcentral is "partial small subunit ribosomal RNA". The record is from RNAcentral. Lineage: Eukaryota; Viridiplantae; Streptophyta; Magnoliopsida; Poales; Poaceae.